RNAcentral lists this ribosomal RNA (482 nucleotides) under Synophis bicolor. Its description in RNAcentral is "partial 12S ribosomal RNA". It matches the Rfam family "Microsporidia small subunit ribosomal RNA", at positions 661 to 1280 of the family's 1311-position model. The record is from RNAcentral. Lineage: Eukaryota; Metazoa; Chordata; Lepidosauria; Squamata; Dipsadidae.
UUAGAUACCCUACUAUGCCCAGCCGUAACCCAACAAUAAAAUAACCUAUUGUUCGCCAAAUAACUACGAGUGUAAACUUAAAAUUUAAAAGACUUGACGGUAUUUCACAACAACCUAGAGGAGCCUGUCCAAUAACCGAUACUCCACGAUUAACCUCACCCACCCUAGCCACACAGUCUAUAUACCGCCGUCGCCAGCCUACCUUGUGAAAGAAAUAAAGUAAGCUAAACAGAGCCCACUAAUACGACAGGUCGAGGUGUAACAAAUGGGUGGGCAAAGAUGGGCUACAUUUUCUAACACAGAAAACACGAAUAAACUAUGAAACUAGAAACUGAAGGCGGAUUUAGCAGUAUGUCAAGAACAUAAUACCUGACUGAAACUAAUGCAAUGAAAUGCGUACACACCGCCCGUCAUCCCUGUAACCAUAAAAACAAAUCUAUAAUACACCACCACACCCAAAGCAGGGCAAGUCGUAACAAGGU